UACAAUAAAGGAAUGGAAAAAAGAUAACUAAAGGCAUAGCAUCCUUCCUCCUCAUUCAAUCAAAACCAAUUAAUGCAUUAAAUUUUGUGCCAAAGAAAAAAGCACCCUUUAUAACAUAAAACUUAUACAAUCAUGUAUGAAUGUGACAAAAGAAAUUUAACUGCUUUAGCAUAUUAACAGACUAAAUCAGUCUUACGUUUAAAUGAACCCAGCAGUAGUGCUUUUGGUUGUGUCAUAUGCUAACCCUUUGAUGAGAUGUAACAAACAAGCUGUUUUUGUUGGAUUGAAGUAUUCUGGCUUAAAGCUCUAUGAAAAAACACUCUAGGAACUAAUGCCAAAAUAGGUUUUCCAUCAAUUAUCAAACCCUUGACUCUGGGUUGGAGAAGAACCAAAGGAUAAUGGCACAGAGAACGAGAACAAGAGGGAUGAGAUGGAUUGCGUUCUCUGCA
RNAcentral lists this unclassified non-coding RNA (449 nucleotides) under Hevea brasiliensis (rubber tree). The record is from RNAcentral. Lineage: Eukaryota; Viridiplantae; Streptophyta; Magnoliopsida; Malpighiales; Euphorbiaceae.